GGACCCGCACAAGCGGUGGAGCAUGUGGUUUAAUUCGAUGCAACGCGAAGAACCUUACCAAGAAUUGACAUGCUGCGAACGUUUACGAAAGUAAAAAGUCUAUUAACUUAGUUAAUAGCGCAGACACAGGUGGUGCAUGGUUGUCGUCAGCUCGUGCCGUGAGGUGUUAGGUUAAGUCCUGCAACGAGCGCAACCCUUGUCUUUAGUUAUAUUCUAGAGAGACUGCCGGUGAUAAACCGGAGGAAGGUGAGGAUGACGUCAAAUCAGCAUGCCCCUUACAUCUUGGGCGACUCACGUGCUACAAUGGUCGGGACAAAGAGAUGCUACCCUGCGAAGGCAAGCUAACCUCAAAAACCCGAUCUCAGUUCGGAUUGCAGGCUGCAACUCGCCUGCAUGAAGUUGGAAUCGCUAGUAAUCGCAGGUC
RNAcentral lists this ribosomal RNA (424 nucleotides) under uncultured bacterium. Its description in RNAcentral is "bacterial SSU rRNA". It matches the Rfam family "Bacterial small subunit ribosomal RNA", at positions 917 to 1350 of the family's 1533-position model. The record is from RNAcentral.